UGGGGGAUAGCCCGGCGAAAGCCGGAUUAAUACCGCAUACGCUCUACGGAGGAAAGGGGGGGAUCUCAGGACCUCCCGCUACAGGGGCGGCCGAUGGCAGAUUAGCUAGUUGGUGGGGUAAAGGCCUACCAAGGCGACGAUCUGUAGCUGGUCUGAGAGGACGACCAGCCACACUGGGACUGAGACACGGCCCAGACUCCUACGGGAGGCAGCAGUGGGGAAUUUUGGACAAUGGGCGAAAGCCUGAUCCAGCAAUGCCGCGUGUGUGAAGAAGGCCUUCGGGUUGUAAAGCACUUUUGUCCGGAAAGAAAACCUCCGCCCUAAUAUGGUGGGGGGAUGACGGUACCGGAAGAAUAAGCACCGGCUAACUACGUGCCAGCAGCCGCGGUAAUACGUAGGGUGCAAGCGUUAAUCGGAAUUACUGGGCGUAAAGCGUGCGCAGGCGGUCCGCUAAGACAGAUGUGAAAUCCCCGGGCUUAACCUGGGAACUGCAUUUGUGACUGGCGGGCUAGAGUAUGGCAGAGGGGGGUAGAAUUCCACGUGUAGCAGUGAAAUGCGUA
This 560-nucleotide ribosomal RNA is filed under the name Burkholderia sp. R10-8. RNAcentral describes it as "bacterial SSU rRNA". It matches the Rfam family "Bacterial small subunit ribosomal RNA", at positions 137 to 692 of the family's 1533-position model. The record is from RNAcentral. RNAcentral also lists the same sequence under 1 other name. Lineage: Bacteria; Pseudomonadati; Pseudomonadota; Betaproteobacteria; Burkholderiales; Burkholderiaceae.